Molecule: unclassified non-coding RNA, 377 nt
Filed under: plant metagenome
Description: partial contains 5.8S ribosomal RNA, internal transcribed spacer 2, and large subunit ribosomal RNA
Rfam family: 5.8S ribosomal RNA (bases 1-105)
Source: RNAcentral
GAAAUGCGAUAAGUAAUGUGAAUUGCAGAAUUCAGUGAAUCAUCGAAUCUUUGAACGCACCUUGCGCUCCUUGGUAUUCCUUGGAGCAUGCCUGUUUGAGUAUCAUGAAAUCUUCAAAGUAAAUCUUUUGUUAACUCAAUUGGUUUCUACUUUGGUAUUGGAGGUCUUUGCAGCUUCACACCUGCUCCUCUUUGUUCAUUAGCUGGAUCUCAGUGUUAUGCUUGGUUCCACUCGGCGUGAUAAGUUAUCUAUCGCUGAGGACACUGUAAAAGGUGGCCAAGGUAAAUGCAGAUGAACCGCUUCUAAUAGUCCAUUGACUUGGACAAUACUUUUAUGAUCUGAUCUCAAAUCAGGUAGACUACCCGCUGAACUUAAGC